RNAcentral lists this ribosomal RNA (254 nucleotides) under uncultured bacterium. RNAcentral describes it as "partial 16S ribosomal RNA". It matches the Rfam family "Bacterial small subunit ribosomal RNA", at positions 524 to 776 of the family's 1533-position model. The record is from RNAcentral.
UACGGGGGGAGCAAGCGUUGUUCGGAUUUACUGGGCGUAAAGGGCGGGUAGGCGGCCACCGCAAGUCAGUUGUGAAAUCUCCGGGCUUAACCCGGAAAGGUCAACUGAUACUGCGGGGCUAGAGUGCAGAAGGGGCAACUGGAAUUCUCGGUGUAGCGGUGAAAUGCGUAGAUAUCGUAAGGAAGACCAGUGGCGAAGGCGGGUCUCUGGACAGUUCCUGACGCUGAGGCACGAAGGUCAGGGGAGCAAACGGG